RNAcentral lists this transfer RNA (73 nucleotides) under Nitrospirota bacterium. Its description in RNAcentral is "Nitrospirae bacterium (groundwater metagenome) tRNA-Lys". It matches the Rfam family "tRNA". Rfam says of the family: Transfer RNA (tRNA) molecules are approximately 80 nucleotides in length. Their secondary structure includes four short double-helical elements and three loops (D, anti-codon, and T loops). RNAcentral also lists the same sequence under 1 other name. Lineage: Bacteria; Pseudomonadati; Nitrospirota. The record is from RNAcentral.
GGGCCGUUAGCUCAGUUGGUAGAGCAGCUGACUCUUAAUCAGCGGGUCGCUGGUUCGAAUCCAGCACGGCUCA